RNAcentral lists this ribosomal RNA (425 nucleotides) under uncultured bacterium. Its description in RNAcentral is "bacterial SSU rRNA". It matches the Rfam family "Bacterial small subunit ribosomal RNA", at positions 356 to 773 of the family's 1533-position model. The record is from RNAcentral.
AGGGAAUUUUCCACAAUGGACGAAAGUCUGAUGGAGCAACGCCGCGUGAACGAUGAAGGUCUUCGGAUUGUAAAGUUCUGUUGUCAGGGACGAACAAGUACCGUUCAAACAGGGCGGUACCUUGACGGUACCUGACGAGAAAGCCACGGCUAACUACGUGCCAGCAGCCGCGGUAAUACGUAGGUGGCAAGCGUUGUCCGGAUUUAUUGGGCGUAAAGCGCGCGCAGGCGGCUUUGUAAGUCUGGUGUUAAAGCCCGGGGCUCAACCCCGGUUCGCAUCGGAAACUGCAGAGCUUGAGUGCAGAAGAGGAAAGCGGUAUUCCACGUGUAGCGGUGAAAUGCGUAGAGAUGUGGAGGAACACCAGUGGCGAAGGCGGCUUUCUGGUCUGUAACUGACGCUGAGGCGCGAAAGCGUGGGGAGCAAAC